CACGGAGGAUCCGAGCGUUAUCCGGAAUUAUUGGGUUUAAAGGGUGCGUAGGCGGCCAUUUAAGUCAGCGGUGAAAUUUUGCAGCUUAACUGUAACAGUGCCGUUGAUACUGGGGAGCUAGGAUUUGGUUGCUGUGGGUGGAAUGUGUGGUGUAGCGGUGAAAUGCUUAGAGAUCACACAGAAUAUCGAUUGCGAAGGCAGCUCACAAAGCCAAGAUUGACGCUGAGGCACGAAAGUGUGGGGAUCAAACAGGAUUAGA
Molecule: ribosomal RNA, 259 nt
Filed under: uncultured prokaryote
Description: partial 16S ribosomal RNA
Rfam family: Bacterial small subunit ribosomal RNA
Source: RNAcentral